GGUGCCUUAUUAUGAGAUGGAUCCUGAUACCCCCAUCUCUUCUGCAUUUGCUCAGCAUGGGGUGCAAUGGGCUGCUUAUGUGGUGAGUGCUGGAGCUGUUACUGCACUGUGCUCGACAUUGUUGGGUUCUCUUCUACCUCAGCCACGAAUCUUGAUGGCAAUGGCGAGAGAUGGGUUGCUGCCUUCUUUUUUCUCGGAUGUUAAUAAAAAAACUCAAGUUCCUGUCAAGAGCACCAUAGCAAGUGGUGUUGGUGCUGCAGGCUUGGCCUUUUUCAUGGAUGUUUCAGAGUUAGCAGGGAUGGUCAGUGUUGGUACCCUUCUAGCAUUUACCACAGUGGCUGUAUCGGUGUUGAUUCUCAGAUAUAUUCCACCCAAUGAGGUGCCGAUGCC
Molecule: unclassified non-coding RNA, 390 nt
Filed under: Hevea brasiliensis (rubber tree)
Lineage: Eukaryota; Viridiplantae; Streptophyta; Magnoliopsida; Malpighiales; Euphorbiaceae
Source: RNAcentral